CCUACGGGUGGCAGCAGUGGGGGAUAUUGCACAAUGGGGGAAACCCUGAUGCAGCGACGCCGCGUGUGGGAAGACGGUCUUCUGGAUUGUAAACCACUGUCCCCAGGGACGAAAAUGACGGUACCUGGGGAGGAAGCUCCGGCAAACUACGUGCCAGCAGCCGCGGUAAUACGUAGGGAGCAAGCGUUGUCCGGAAUUACUGGGUGUAAAGGGAGCGUAGGCGGGGAUGCAAGUUGGGUGUCAAAACUACCGGCUCAACGGAUAGUCGCACUCAAAACUGCAACUCUUGAGUGAAGUAGAGGCAGGCGGAAUUCCUAGUGUAGCGGUGAAAUGCGUAGAUAUUAGGAGGAACACCAGUGGCGAAGGCGGCCUGCUGGGCUUUUACUGACGCUGAGGCUCGAAAGUGUGGGGAGCAAACAGGAUUAGAUACCCGGGUAGUC
This 440-nucleotide ribosomal RNA is filed under the name uncultured bacterium. RNAcentral's name for it is "partial 16S ribosomal RNA". It matches the Rfam family "Bacterial small subunit ribosomal RNA", at positions 338 to 795 of the family's 1533-position model. The record is from RNAcentral.